This 1417-nucleotide ribosomal RNA is filed under the name Klebsiella pneumoniae. RNAcentral's name for it is "bacterial LSU rRNA". It matches the Rfam family "Bacterial large subunit ribosomal RNA", at positions 1531 to 2925 of the family's 2925-position model. The record is from RNAcentral. Lineage: Bacteria; Pseudomonadati; Pseudomonadota; Gammaproteobacteria; Enterobacterales; Enterobacteriaceae.
UCCAGGCAAAUCCGGAUAAUCAAGGCUGAGGUGUGAUGACGAGGCACUACGGUGCUGAAGUAACAAAUGCCCUGCUUCCAGGAAAAGCCUCUAAGCAUCAGGUAACAUCAAAUCGUACCCCAAACCGACACAGGUGGUCAGGUAGAGAAUACCAAGGCGCUUGAGAGAACUCGGGUGAAGGAACUAGGCAAAAUGGUGCCGUAACUUCGGGAGAAGGCACGCUGGUGUGUAGGUGAAGUCCCUGCGGAUGGAGCUGAGACCAGUCGAAGAUACCAGCUGGCUGCAACUGUUUAUUAAAAACACAGCACUGUGCAAACACGAAAGUGGACGUAUACGGUGUGACGCCUGCCCGGUGCCGGAAGGUUAAUUGAUGGGGUUAUCCGUAAGGAGAAGCUCUUGAUCGAAGCCCCGGUAAACGGCGGCCGUAACUAUAACGGUCCUAAGGUAGCGAAAUUCCUUGUCGGGUAAGUUCCGACCUGCACGAAUGGCGUAAUGAUGGCCAGGCUGUCUCCACCCGAGACUCAGUGAAAUUGAACUCGCUGUGAAGAUGCAGUGUACCCGCGGCAAGACGGAAAGACCCCGUGAACCUUUACUAUAGCUUGACACUGAACAUUGAGCCUUGAUGUGUAGGAUAGGUGGGAGGCUUUGAAGCGUGGACGCCAGUCUGCGUGGAGCCAACCUUGAAAUACCACCCUUUAAUGUUUGAUGUUCUAACGUUGGCCCCUGACCGGGGUUGCGGACAGUGUCUGGUGGGUAGUUUGACUGGGGCGGUCUCCUCCCAAAGCGUAACGGAGGAGCACGAAGGUUAGCUAAUCCUGGUCGGACAUCAGGAGGUUAGUGCAAUGGCAUAAGCUAGCUUGACUGCGAGCGUGACGGCGCGAGCAGGUGCGAAAGCAGGUCAUAGUGAUCCGGUGGUUCUGAAUGGAAGGGCCAUCGCUCAACGGAUAAAAGGUACUCCGGGGAUAACAGGCUGAUACCGCCCAAGAGUUCAUAUCGACGGCGGUGUUUGGCACCUCGAUGUCGGCUCAUCACAUCCUGGGGCUGAAGUAGGUCCCAAGGGUAUGGCUGUUCGCCAUUUAAAGUGGUACGCGAGCUGGGUUUAGAACGUCGUGAGACAGUUCGGUCCCUAUCUGCCGUGGGCGCUGGAGAAUUGAGGGGGGCUGCUCCUAGUACGAGAGGACCGGAGUGGACGCAUCACUGGUGUUCGGGUUGUCAUGCCAAUGGCACUGCCCGGUAGCUAAAUGCGGAAGAGAUAAGUGCUGAAAGCAUCUAAGCACGAAACUUGCCCCGAGAUGAGUUCUCCCUGAGACUUUAAGUCUCCUGAAGGAACGUUAAAGACGAUGACGUUGAUAGGCCGGGUGUGUAAGCGCAGCGAUGCGUUGAGCUAACCGGUACUAAUGAACCGUGAGGCUUAACC